UCUUAUCACGUUGUAAACACCGGUUCCCGUACGAUCACAGAAGUUAAGCAACGUCGAGCAUGGUCUGUAUUUAUUUGGGUAACCCCUAGCGAAUACUAGGAGUUGCAAG
Molecule: non-coding RNA, 109 nt
Organism: Acanthosepion pharaonis
Lineage: Eukaryota; Metazoa; Mollusca; Cephalopoda; Sepiida; Sepiidae
Source: the annotation of a GenBank genome assembly